RNAcentral lists this ribosomal RNA (403 nucleotides) under Verrucomicrobiota bacterium. Its description in RNAcentral is "Verrucomicrobia bacterium partial 16S ribosomal RNA". It matches the Rfam family "Bacterial small subunit ribosomal RNA", at positions 355 to 776 of the family's 1533-position model. Lineage: Bacteria; Pseudomonadati; Verrucomicrobiota. The record is from RNAcentral.
UGGGGAAUAUUGCACAAUGGAGGGAACUCUGAUGCAGCGACGCCGCGUGAACGAAGAAGGCUUUCGAGUCGUAAAGUUCUUUUAUAUGGGAAGAUAAUGACGGUACCAUAAGAAAAAGCCCCGGCUAAAUACGUGCCAGCAGCCGCGGUAAUACGUAUGGACCGAGCGUUGUCCGGAAUCAUUGGGCGUAAAGGGUACGUAGGCGGCCCAGUAAGUUAGAAGUGAAAUAAUAUAGCUCAACUAUAUAAAGCUUUUAAAACUGCUAGGCUUGAGAGAUGGAAGGGAAAGUGGAAUUCCUAGUGUAGCGGUGAAAUGCGCAGAUAUUAGGAAGAAUACCGGUGGCGAAGGCGACUUUCUGGUCAUCAUCUGACGCUGAGGUACGAAAGCGUGGGUAGCAAACAGG